This 142-nucleotide small nuclear RNA is filed under the name Oikopleura dioica. RNAcentral describes it as "U4 spliceosomal RNA". It matches the Rfam family "U4 spliceosomal RNA". From Rfam's summary of the family: U4 small nuclear RNA (U4 snRNA) is a component of the major U2-dependent spliceosome. Lineage: Eukaryota; Metazoa; Chordata; Appendicularia; Copelata; Oikopleuridae. The record is from Rfam by way of RNAcentral.
AGCUUUGCGCAGUGGCAGUAUCGUAAACGAUCGAGGUUUAUCCGAGUUGCGAUUAUUGCUAAUUGAAAACUAUACCCAAUACCCCGCCAUGCGGACGUGAAAUACCGUUCACAUAGGCAAUUUCUGAAGGAUACUACGGUUU